CUCUACUCUCUCUUUGCAGUACACAACCUGUAAAAGCUUUCAACAGCAUCAUCUGGUGCAGUGCCACUGAGCUGUGCAUGGAAAAGAACAGGCUUUGAGGCACAGCCUGUUGUCUGAGGGUAUUUUGGUCCAUCACCCCAUACCUCACGUGCUGUAGAAAAGAAGGUAACAGGCAGUUUUCAUCAAAGCUCUUCUUUCAGGAGCGUUUUAAUAAAACCUGACAAUGGCACCGGGCUCAUCAGCACAGUAUAACCACACGGAGUGCAAUAUCUCCGCUAUAUUUUCUGUAUUUCCUCCUGUAUUUUCCACGGGUUACUAACUUAUGAAACAUGCCUGGUACCAAACCUGUCCAUGUUACAUAUUUACAGAAUCAAACACAUCUGCUUGUGAGUUCAGUGCUGCCAUGCUUGGGGAUAGCAGAAAUGUGCCUCAGAGGUGCUGGAGGGCAUAGGGAUACGGCAGCUGAGGUUCGAUUCAGUAAAAGAAAGAAGGACUCUUCUUUAGUUUAACCGUGGCAAUCCCACCUCUAAUUAAAAUUAGACAUUCUUGAUUGCAUUCUAAAUGGAUCUGAUGACUUUGUUAAUGCGAAGUGACAAGGCGGCUCUGUCUCUGUCAGCCUAUGAAACAUUAGAGCCGCGCUCUGGCUGGGGUUUAGGAGGAGACGAGGACGGACUUCAGUUAAAGCCCCUCGGUACUGGAGCAGGAAGGACCGACCGUGCGAGCAGCUUCGCAGCCAUCCCACCCGACUCCAGCCCCGGGGAAGCCCUCGGUCAGCAUCGCCGGGGGAGAGCAGUCGCGGUGCAGGCACGUCUCACCUGGCAAGGCUGGCCUCACGUUGGCCAAGCUGAAGCGACGAGAGAGGAAAACGAGGUCCCAGCCUGCCGUGCUGCUGAGCGGGAGUCACGCUGAGGGUCUCCCUCCUGGUUUGCUCAGGAUUUCACCAUCUGCAAUUGAAUAUCAUUUAUUUGGGCACAGUGUGUCUGCCUGCUUCUAAUGCAUCAGAAUGUGAUACUGCAUUUUCAGCAAACAAACCCAAAGUGUCUGUGUUCUCUUAUUUCUUGUGUUUAUUCAGUGUCACACUGCGAGGCACCGCGGGAGCAUGGCACUGGGGUCUGCAGGCACUGGGGCAGGUCCCUGAACUGGGUGAUGCUGGGGGGUGACCCUGGGCAACAGCAGUUAGCCCACAGAAGUUCACUUUUCUUUAAAAAAUCCUCUUCUGUGACAAUUUUGAUCCACCUUAAUGAAAAU
RNAcentral lists this long non-coding RNA (1248 nucleotides) under Anser brachyrhynchus (Pink-footed goose). RNAcentral's name for it is "lncRNA (ENSABRG00000017760.1)". The record is from RNAcentral. Lineage: Eukaryota; Metazoa; Chordata; Aves; Anseriformes; Anatidae.